CAAUAGCGUAUAUUAAAGUUGUUGCAGUUAAAAAGCUCGUAGUUGGACCUUGGACCUGGACAGGCGGUCCGCCUCACGGCGAGUACUGUCUUGCUGGGUCUUUCCUCUUGGUGAUCUGUUGUUUCGGCAGCAGGGAACCAGGACCUUUACUUUGAAAAAAUUAGAGUGUUCAAAGCAGGCUCGACGCCGGAGUAUAUUAGCAUGGAAUAAUAAAAUAGGACGUGCGGUUCUAUUUUGUUGGUCUUUGGAAUCGCCGUAAUGAUUAAUAGGGACAGUCGGGGGCAUUAGUACUCACAUGCUAGAGGUGAAAUUCUUGGAUUUUGUGAAGACCAACUUCUGCGAAANCANNNGCCAAGGAUGUUUUCAUNAA
This 370-nucleotide ribosomal RNA is filed under the name uncultured eukaryote. RNAcentral's name for it is "partial 18S ribosomal RNA". It matches the Rfam family "Eukaryotic small subunit ribosomal RNA", at positions 592 to 976 of the family's 1831-position model. The record is from RNAcentral.